UUAGGGUCGGUUCGGCGGUUUUUAUUCCCUCAUCAUAAAAAGUAGCGGACUAAGUUAGGCUGGUUUGCGAUGGGAGUUCCACGAGUGUUCUAUGUUCUGAGGCUCAGUGAACGCACCACGAGGAGACACUUCAUACAGUCUAUGGAGCCUCUGAACGUCACAUAAAACAAGCUCAGAAGUCACGUGAUUUGUUUUGGCGAAGCGUUUUCAUCAGUCUGCUUCUCGUUUGCACCAAAUAAAUAAAUGACUCUUUUUUUUCGGGUUAAAUUGCCACAUUAUGACGUCACCAUCCUAGCUUCAGAUGCAUUGGUUGUAAUCCCAGCUGAUCACGUGUUCGCUCCACCUGCCGCUGAGUGCUCAUUAAAGGUAAUUGGGUCCAGGUGAGACCGCGGCUCAGUGGUUCUGGAUGCAGUUCUGCGGUGGACUUCAGAAUUCCUUGCUGUCCAGGAAAAGUGGAGCUCCGACUAAAACAAAGAGGAAGAUCUUCAACCAGAUCAGAACUGAAACUCUGAGUGAUCUUCUGCUCUGAAACGUCAGACCUGGAUCUUCUAUCGCCGCCCUACAGAAACUAUUGCAGCUGCUGGAUCAACGAUGAAUUAACUGAUUUCUGACGUUUUAUAUCACAUUACUGACCAAUUAAAAAUAAAGUAGUUUAUGGAAAAGAAAUCCUUUUUGGUUGCGUGGUGUUUUUUUAUUUUUUAUUUUUCCCUAAAAAUGCUAAGAUUAGAUUUGUUUCCAUAUUUGCAGCUUUAACUCCAAAUGUGAUAUUUCUAAUGAUUAGAAAGCUGCAGUUUUCCCAUAUCAGACUGUUCUCCAGUCCUCAGACCAGAUCAGGAUGGACAUCAGAUGCUGAGGUUAAAGUUUGAGUUUAAGACAUCCCUGAUGUUUCUGCACCUACUUUAUAUAUAUUUAUAUUUAUUUUUAACAAUGUUUUAGGAGUUCAAAAAAAUCUUUAAAAAUUAAAAUCUUCAAUCUUCCAACGACUUGAUGGUUUGGGGACUAAAUGUUCAUGAGAUCUUUUCAUGUUUACGAUUUCUGGAUCUGCAGAAACUU
Long non-coding RNA from Oryzias melastigma (Indian medaka), 1053 nucleotides. RefSeq lists it as uncharacterized. The transcript has 4 exons. The record is from RefSeq and is a predicted model, not a curated record. Lineage: Eukaryota; Metazoa; Chordata; Actinopteri; Beloniformes; Adrianichthyidae.